Molecule: ribosomal RNA, 506 nt
Filed under: Pycnocaris chagoae
Lineage: Eukaryota; Metazoa; Arthropoda; Malacostraca; Decapoda; Palaemonidae
Description: partial small subunit ribosomal RNA
Source: RNAcentral
UUGAGUAGGGUUCUAAUAAUUACUUUAGUUUGGCGGUGAAAUAUUUAAAUUUUUGGUAAUAUGCUUUAAUCUAUUCAUUUUUAUAGGCUAUAAAAGUUUGGACUUAAAAUAGGAUUAGAUACCCUAUUAUACCAUUCUGAUAAAUUUUUGCUUGAUUAGUAAUCAGUUAUGCUCUUGAAACUUAGAGGAUUUGGCGGUACUCAAGUCUAGUUAGAGGAACCUGCUCUGUAAACGAUAUGCCACGUAUUAUCUUUCUCCCACUGGUGUUUCAGUUUGUAUACCGCCAUUAUUAAGUAAUAUCUAUAGAUAAGUAUUGAGAUAGAUUUGUUUAGGAUAUUAGGUCAAGGUGCAGCUUAUGUUGGAGUUGAAGUGGGUUACAUUCUUUUAUAUAGGUCGGAUGGGGGAUUUAUAAUCUCUUUGAAGUUGGAUUUAAUUGUAAUUUUGUUUUAAUAAGGCACUAUGAUAUUAGCUCUAGAGUAUGUACACAUCGCCCGUCGCUCUCAUUA